UGCUAAAGGUAAGGCUUUCAAAAGAUGAAAAACAAGAAGGGAAAAUGAGAAUGAGUUUCCACUCUCUGGGGAAAGAGCUCAGCUUAAUGGUCCUUCCUGCUAUAAACCCUAUGAUUGCACAGACCUUUGCUUUUUUUUCUGCACUGAGGGUAGAACCAGCCCCACCCCCACCCUCUGGCUCCCCAACUAGGCUAUAUAUCCAACCUGCUUCAUACUCUAUCAGGUCUCCUAAGAUAAGCUCUGGCCUCUGUUCACUCCGGUAAUUUUCUCUUUUCAUUUCUGCUUCCAGUCAUAUUGUCCUGUUAUCAUCAUCCCGUGAAACUAUAUUAGAACCUCCCUCAUCAUGGCCUGUUCCUUUCAUCACUACUAGGCAAGUUGUCAUCUUGGAGGAUCUACCCUCCAUGAACAGCAGAGAGUCUCAGGAAGGAACAGUUGGCAUCAGCCUUGACCAUGAAUCUGUCAACUUACACUCUUUUCAUAUGUUCUCUUUAACAUGAGAAAGGUAGAACAAAACUGAAACCCAAGAUGGCCUAACCUCAUUUUAAAUACCACCCAGAGUUCCUGAGGAGUAACUGUCAUGAACUGCAUUUCAGAAGUGCUGUGGAGAUUAAACCUAAAGACACAAGGACGGGACACAUCAUCAGGGGUAGACGUUGAAGACUAGACCAAUAAUCUUGGCAGGAAAACCUAGAGCCCUCUCUAAAAGGAGAUGUCUUGAACCAUCUUUACAGGGAAAAGCAAGGAUCACUGCCAUCAGUGCAGGUUCAUUAAGAGCAAAGCACGUGGGCUAUGGACCUUGGCAUACUCCUGUAAUGCCAGAAUUUGGGAGGCAGGAAGAUCAUGAGUUGAGGGCCAUCCUGAGCUACAUAGCAAGUUUGAAGCUAACCUAGGCUACACAAGAUCUC
Molecule: long non-coding RNA, 905 nt
Filed under: Mus musculus (house mouse)
Lineage: Eukaryota; Metazoa; Chordata; Mammalia; Rodentia; Muridae
Description: long non-coding RNA chr13:67007253-67008158
Source: RNAcentral